This 497-nucleotide ribosomal RNA is filed under the name uncultured bacterium. Its description in RNAcentral is "partial 16S ribosomal RNA". It matches the Rfam family "Bacterial small subunit ribosomal RNA", at positions 28 to 507 of the family's 1533-position model. The record is from RNAcentral.
GAUGAACGCUGGCGGCGUGCCUAAUACAUGCAAGUCGAGCGGACAGACGAAAAUCUUUCUCCUCUUUCGUUAGCGUCGGAAGGGGGAGUAACACGUGGGUAUCCUACCUAUUUUACUUUGGUAUAUUCUCGUAACCGGAUCUAUUAUCGCUUAUUUUCUUUCUCCGCAUGGUUCAGUAGUUAAAGAAGGUUUUUUUGUCACUUGUUGAUCUCUCCGUGACGCAUUAGCUAGUUGGUAUGGUGACGGCUUAACAAGGCAACGAUGCGUAGGCGUGCUAGGAGGGUGAUCGGACACACUGGAAAUGAGACACGGUCCAGACGCCUAAGGGAGGCAGCAGUAGGGAAAGUUGCGCAAAGUGCGAAAGGGUGACGGAGCAAAGCCGCGUGAGUGAUGAAGGUGUUCGGAUCGUAAAACUCUGUUAUUAGGGAAGAACAAAUGAGUAAGUAACUAUGCACGGCUUGAAGGUAACGGAUCAGAAAGCCACGGCUAACUACGUG